Molecule: unclassified non-coding RNA, 414 nt
Filed under: Hevea brasiliensis (rubber tree)
Lineage: Eukaryota; Viridiplantae; Streptophyta; Magnoliopsida; Malpighiales; Euphorbiaceae
Source: RNAcentral
AUAGUGAGUACAAAAUUAUUCAUCAGAUGGUGGAUGAUAUUGGGAAAGAGAUUAGAAAAGCUGGAUUUGUUGCUUCAACAUCAGAAGUGUUGCUUGAUAUCGAUGAAGAACAUAAAGAAGGAGCUGUAAAUAGGCAUAGUGAAAAGCUUGCUAUUGCAUUUGCCCUUAUGAAGACACCUCCUGGAACUCCUAUCCGAAUCGUGAAAAACUUACGAGUCUGUGAAGAUUGCCACUCUGCGACUAAAUUCAUUUCGAAGACUUACAAGCGAGAAAUAUUGGUCAGGGACAGAAACCGAUUUCACCGUUUCGUAGAUGGGGUUUGCUCAUGCAAAGACUUUUGGUAGCUUAAUGUGCAUGAUGUUGUAAUCAAUAUCAGUCAUGGCAACCAGGAGUGUCUUUUCAUGAGCAUUGUUA